AUGAACGCUGGCGGCGUGCCUAAUACCUGCAAGUCGAGCGAGCAGACGAGGAGCUUGCUCCUCUGACGUUAGCGGCGGACGGGUGAGUAACACGCGGAUAACCUACCUAUAAGACUGGGAUAACUUCGGGAAACCGGAGCUAAUACCGGAUAAUAUAUUGAACCGCAUGGUUCAAUAGUGAAAGACGGUUUUGCUGUCACUUAUAGAUGGAUCCGCGCCGCAUUAGCUAGUUGGUAAGGUAACGGCUUACCAAGGCGACGAUGCGUAGCCGACCUGAGAGGGUGAUCGGCCACACUGGAACUGAGACACGGUCCAGACUCCUACGGGAGGCAGCAGUAGGGAAUCUUCCGCAAUGGGCGAAAGCCUGACGGAGCAACGCCGCGUGAGUGAUGAAGGUCUUCGGAUCGUAAAACUCUGUUAUUAGGGAAGAACAAAUGUGUAAGUAACUAUGCACGUCUUGACGGUACCUAAUCAGAAAGCCACGGCUAACUACGUG
RNAcentral lists this ribosomal RNA (496 nucleotides) under uncultured bacterium. RNAcentral describes it as "partial 16S ribosomal RNA". It matches the Rfam family "Bacterial small subunit ribosomal RNA", at positions 29 to 507 of the family's 1533-position model. The record is from RNAcentral.